AGACGGAGGGUCCUAGCGUUGUUCGGAAUAACUGGGCGUAAAGGGUACGUAGGCGGUUUGGUCAGUUAGAUGUGAAAGCCCAGGGCUCAACCUUGGAACUGCAUUUAAUACUGCCAGACUUGAGAUCGGAAGAGGAAAGCGGAAUUCCUAGUGUAGAGGUGAAAUUCGUAGAUAUUAGGAGGAACAUCAGAGGAGAAGGCGGCUUUCUGGUCCGAUACUGACGCUGAGGUACGAAAGCGUGGGGAGCAAACAGGAUUAGAUACCCUUGUAGUCC
This 274-nucleotide ribosomal RNA is filed under the name uncultured bacterium. Its description in RNAcentral is "partial 16S ribosomal RNA". It matches the Rfam family "Bacterial small subunit ribosomal RNA", at positions 523 to 796 of the family's 1533-position model. The record is from RNAcentral.